RNAcentral lists this non-coding RNA (91 nucleotides) under Pseudopedinella elastica. The record is from RNAcentral. Lineage: Eukaryota; Dictyochophyceae; Pedinellales.
UUUUUUUUUUUUUUUUUUUUUUUUUUGGUUCUAGUAACUAACAGGAAAGCCCAGAAAAACUGCUGCGUUGUUCCAUUUUCAAUUAUCGCGU